This is a long non-coding RNA of Pseudopipra pipra, 5295 nucleotides long. RefSeq lists it as uncharacterized. NCBI's taxonomy places the organism in Eukaryota, Metazoa, Chordata, Aves, Passeriformes, Pipridae. The transcript has 3 exons. The record is from RefSeq and is a predicted model, not a curated record.
GAAGUCAAGGAUGUUUAGAAAUACACUAGGUCCAGGACACACAGACCAAACUCUAGGUGUUUAGGCUUGCGGUUCAAUCCUCCAAUCUCCCUGCAGCAUCUCCAUAGUCCUUAAGAACAUCAUGUCAGGAGGAAGAAAAGUGUUUGAUAUAUGGAUGUCCUGCCACUGAAAACAGCCAUUUUUCCAUUUUUUUUUCUGUAUCUAGGCAUUCUUAUACAAGUGACUAUUGCUGAAGGACACUGAAUUCUUGGGAAGUACUAACUGGUAGUAUAAGAGGUCAUCAUUUUGCCAGAUAAAGUCUUUCCCUGUGGUAAAUGAUCAAUGAGGCAUGAUAUAAAUUCUAUCACUAUCUUUGCUGACGAUUACAGAACUCAGCUAGAGAAUUCUUUCAGGUAGCAACAGAAACACCUGGAUGCUUUUUUCCUAAAUAUCUGCAGAUCAAAUUCAAGAGAGUAAAUGCAUAUCUCUAACUUUGUAUGAAAGGCCACUUUGUCUACUCUUUUGGCCAGCAGCAUCACACAUUUCAAAGAUAUAUUUGUUCUUAGAGUUGUUCACACUGAGCUAUAUUGUUUAUAAAACAGUAUUACCAAUCAUAACCACCUGCAGCUGAAGAGUCAUAAAAUAGGUAGCUUGGAUACCAGGAAAACAUUUGCUAAAGCAGCACAGAACAUGUGUCCUUCUGGACUGUUCAAGCACAGAGGGUUAUAUCAGACUGGCAACCUGUCACUACUGGGGUUCCACAGAGGUCCAUCUUAGGCCCUGUGCUCUUCAACACCUUCAUAAAUGACUUGGAUGCAUGACUGGAAGGGACACUAAGCAAGUUUAGAGAUGACACAAAACUGGGAGGAGCUUUUGACUCCCUCGAGCGGCCUCAACAAAUCUGAGGGCUGGGCAAUCACCAACCAUAUGAAGUUCAACAAGGGAAAGUGCCAGAUUCUGCACCUGCGAGGGGGCAACCCUGGAUGUACGGACAGACUGGGGAAUGAGAUGCUGGAAAGCAGUGCCACAGAAAGGAACCUGGGGGUCCCGGUCCCUGCUGGCCCGUGACUCGCUAUCAAAGAGCUGGAUGUCCAAACUCUGGAUGGAAAUCAAAUGCUUCUUGAAGAUACUGGUCUUCCUACCACCUUUCCAGUCUCCUGAACUUUAGUGUCUGGCACACAGGCUGCCCAAGAACUGCUGUCAGGCCUGCUACAAGUUCUAGGUAGAUAGGACCAUGGCUGUCUACAAGUUCUUCCUUCUCUAUUCCCUUCUCACUUUUGCCUUAGACUGCAGCUGUGAACAGCACACCUUCCAGCAUGGCCUACCCUUCAUAACCAACCACCUGAAAUUCUUGUGACACCGGCUUGUCUACCUUCCACUGGACUCCUACAUAUCUGGAGCAAAAUCAUGUCAGCAAGCAGGACAACACAUCCUUUUUCUCCUGCCACCCCAGGGGCAGUUGGACAAAACCAAUCCAUGACUGCAGGCUGCCUACUGAAAUAACAGCUCUGUACCUGAUAUCCAAGUCUCUGAUCCUGAAGUGACCACACAGCAGUACAAGGCAUCUCCUCUAAAACAAACUUCAUGCUGUUGCUCCCAGGGCCUGACUAAGGAAGGGCAGCCAUGAAAUUCUUCAGGAAUGUGGAAGAGAAAAAGCAUUACUACAGGGUCAGCCUUUCAUUCUAAGUAAACUGACACCUCAACCAGUAUUUGUCACUGCUACUGCUCGUAGGGUUGUGUGCAGUGUCAUCAGCUCAUACCCUUCAGCAUUUAUAGAGGGGGAAAUGCUGUAUUGUCUCUUGAAGUUGAGGAAGGUUACACAAACACCUUAUCCUUGUGUGCAGUUGGUGCAGUUCACUGGACAGACCUCACAUGGCAGGAAACCAGCACUCUGAGACAAAAUUAUUCCAUGGCAGAUUUCUCCUGCAGCUCUCAGCCAUAUCAAAUUGCUUUUAGAGGCCUAAACAGCCCUCCUGUUCAGAUUAGCAACUCAUUGCCUGUCCACACACUCAGGCCCAUGCACUAGUUCCACCUGAAGCCUCACGUGCCUGUCCCCCUCGUCCAUUUUAACAAGGUGUAUAGGAAAACAGUAGGUUUGCUUGGGUUGAAUAUUAGUAGCAACAAGCACAAAAGGCUGAAUACUUCCAAAGAGAUUUCUUCAGUAUUGUUGUAGUAGACACAUGCUAUGACACCUUAAAAUGUUUGUUGCCCUGGUCUUAAGACUUUUUCAACCUUUCUGAACUGUACACAUCCCUCAAUUGCUGCUCUUCUGGUAGUUGGUGACUAUUGAGGGGCAUAGCCUCUGCCUACUGCUGAGAGGUUAUCCAGGCACCAAAAAUUUCAGUCCUCACAACAGACUGAAAAAUGAGUAUUUCCUUGCAGCCUAAGGUGCCACCAUAUUGGAGCACCUGGGAAGCCAAAGAGACUUUGCCAUCAUUGGGUAGAAAAAGCCAGAAGAAAGACAAUAAAGAAAAAAUCAGAGCAACAGAAAGUACGACAGAAGGAAUGGAAAGGCCUUCUGAGGAAAAUGCUGGGUAUAUUGUAGAACAGCAGUGUGACUCUUGACAGUGUCAGAAGAGCAGAUGUCAAUUUGACGUCACGCAGCACUGUGACACUUCUGUGUCACAUAAGCUCUUCACACUUUGAUUCCAUUCUAUCUGUUGAUGGACCUAAGUAACAUCCAUCCUUGCUGAGGGAUUUCACAGCCAUAUGGCCUAUUCAGUAGUUUGGAUCCCUGACACCACGGCCAUACACUAGGAACAAACUUCUGCUUAACGAAACUGAACUGAAAAAUAUAAUUUGCAUACAACAGCACGAGUUCUGCAGUCAACACCAGUACAUGGAGACAAUCAGAAAGAUUCACUUCAAUACCACAUCACUGCUCUGAACUAACACACUAGUGUAGAUACAGCUUUUCAAGAGCAACUCAUUGUAGACGACUAGUGAAAUGUGGCUAAACAAUGAUUCCCUCAAAUUGGGUCUAAACUGUACAAAUCUCUUUUCAAUAGCACAUGUCUGUAAUACCAAGCCCAUAAGUAGAGCAGAGAAGAACUGUCUAAUCAAAAACAACAAAAGUCAUGCAAUAUUUGGUUAGAUAUUAAAAUUUAAUACCAGCCCUAUUCUGAUAGCAUCUCCCCAUCUCAGCCAAACCCAUUUUUUUUCCUUUUAUGUAGUGUUGAUUUAUACCAGACCUAAACACACUUCAUAUUUUUUCUUACAUAUUUGCCACCAGUCUUCAUCUAAUCACUGGAAAUUAAUACAAAUAAUCCCACCUUACUUAGCUAAACUUGGAAACAGAAGAUUCUAGCCUAGAGAAUAAACCCAGAAACCUUCACCUAAGACAAAGCUUCACUUUUUUACACUUUUCAUGGCAGCUCCGAUUUCUGCCCCCCAGCCCUUCAGAAUCCUCAGCUCAAGGGAUCUGCAGGGAAGAUGCUCAGGUACUACCAGUUCCAGAAAUCCAUGGAAGAUGAGAAUCUGGCAAGCCUAAAACAAGUACCCAAUCCUGUGUCUUACCUGCAUAAAACUUACUUGUUGUCCCAACACUGACUUACUGCCACAUGGUUUUCCAAUAUUCAGUCCAAUGUGGCCUGAGGUUCCUUCAGCUUUCAUCAUCUGGUACACACAACAUGAGUUGCAUGCAGCCACCUGGUUAGAUGCUGUCCCCAAAACCUUGAUAAGCCUUUGGAACAAGGCAAGCAAAUCAGUGUAUGAUCCAGGAGCAAAAAGUACACAGCUCCACUGAGAGUGAGCUUGAGAGCUUCUAUUCCUAAUUAGCAGAAACAGAUGACAGUAGAGAAAAAACAUCCAGGGCUUGGCCUAAAUAUCCCAACCCUGGUAUUGAUUGAGUUCCUUUUUAUUGACAAGAAUGGCUAUGUGCAUGAACUUCACUGCAACUCUGGUUUGUAUUAAAAACCCCUUGCUGUUUAUUAAAGAAUAUUAGCCCUCGUGGACUCAGAGACAUUUGACUGUGCUGUAGUCAUCUCUGCUCCAGAAUAAGGAGAUAUUCUUUUGUCCUUGCUUUUUUCACAGUUCAUUUGAAAUCAAAUGUCCAUUUUUAUCCUAAUGUACAUUACAAAGCAGAUGGAUGUUAAUCAUGGAAUCAAGCUACAACUCAAAUAAGUUCAAAAGCAACAAUGCAUUGACAGUAUUGCUGUCUCUGCUCUUUACUAAGCUGUCAUGUUACCUGUCAGGUUUGUUUAAGGCAUCUUCAUCUCCAACAAACCUGACAUCAAGGACAGUCCCAGAAACACCAGCCAUGGAUACAACACCAACAGUCUGCCAGGAAGAAGUUCAGCACCUGGUUAAAGACUAGGUUUUUACAACUAUUAUGUCCAUAAGCCUCUACAAAGCAGAUUCCCUCUUCUGUUAACCUCUGAGCUUUACACUAGAGGCCAAGCACGAAAUAUUUGUGUUUGUCAUCGCCAUAUUCUGAUAAUUCCAGCUAUCCAUAACAGUUACUCUCAGGUCACCUUCAGUUUAACCAUACAAAACAGUAAUCUCUGUCUUUUAUACUUCUAUUACAACAAAGCAAAAAUGGGUCUUCCAACCCCAAACUAACCACAUAGAGCUCCAGCAAUUAAAUCUAACAGUUUCCACAGUAUGAUGGCAAGAUCCUCUUGCACUUAUCAAAAGAUAAGCCACAGAGAGAAACACUUCUUCAUAUAAGAGAUACCUUUUUGCUCAUCAACUCCAAGUUUGGUAGAAACAUGGCAAGGUGGAUCUCUAUGUUCAAACAAGUUUACCACAGAGAUGUAGGUUAUUGACAACAAAAGCAAUUUCCUUCCUCAGAUCUGAAGAAUUUCCAUCUCUUUCCCAGGCAAGUAAGUACACAGCACCGACAGCACUAGGGUGUUACAAGCUGUGUCACACCUACAUAGGUGUGACACAUCUGUUGAGAUGCUCCUCUCUCAGAGAGCGCAGUACAAAUGCAGAUUUACCUUCACAACAGGAUCAUGAAGCUUGUUGAUGCCUGGCAGCAGCACACUUGCACUCUAAACUCAGAAGCAAAAAGAUCAACUCAGACUUCAGUGGCCACAAGUAUUUCUAUGUGCCUACAUGCAGCAAACCAAAUACAGGCCACUAGUGUAAACCUUUACAGUGUUUUCAGUGAGACUAUUUCUACAGUAUCUUUUGGAAAUACAUCAGCUCAGUACAAACAAUGCUACCUAAACAGAAAUAGUGUUAAAGGUAUUAGAGCAGCACAACCACAACUGCAUGAAACACUUUUUCCUCCUUUAAAGCAUCAAUCAUAAAUAUUCCAUGCAUAAAAAACUAUGAAGUAUACAAAAAAAAAAAAAAAAGCUGUAAAACAAG